This 439-nucleotide ribosomal RNA is filed under the name uncultured bacterium. RNAcentral's name for it is "bacterial SSU rRNA". It matches the Rfam family "Bacterial small subunit ribosomal RNA", at positions 954 to 1392 of the family's 1533-position model. The record is from RNAcentral.
GCACAACGCGAAGAACCUUACCAAGGCUUGACAUACACGAGAACAUCCCAGAAAUGGGGGACUCUUUGGACACUCGUGAACAGGUGGUGCAUGGUUGUCGUCAGCUCGUGUCGUGAGAUGUUGGGUUAAGUCCCGCAACGAGCGCAACCCUCGUUCUAUGUUGCCAGCACGUAAUGGUGGGAACUCAUGGGAUACUGCCGGGGUCAACUCGGAGGAAGGUGGGGAUGACGUCAAAUCAUCAUGCCCCUUAUGUCUUGGGCUUCACGCAUGCUACAAUGGCCGGUACAAAGGGCUGCAAUACCGUGAGGUGGAGCGAAUCCCAAAAAGCCGGUCCCAGUUCGGAUUGAGGUCUGCAACUCGACCUCAUGAAGUCGGAGUCGCUAGUAAUCGCAGAUCAGCAACGCUGCGGUGAAUACGUUCCCGGGUCUUGUACACACCG